Octopus sinensis (East Asian common octopus) is the source of this 452-nucleotide long non-coding RNA. RefSeq lists it as uncharacterized. NCBI's taxonomy places the organism in Eukaryota, Metazoa, Mollusca, Cephalopoda, Octopoda, Octopodidae. The transcript is spliced from 3 exons. The record is from RefSeq and is a predicted model, not a curated record.
ACGGUGUGUUUUUUGGGAUGAAUCUCCUGGACAGAAUCCUAAAUGGUCAACAGAAGGCUGUAAUAUGUCCGAGUAUGUACCUGGAAAGAAAGUACUUUGUUCCUGUAACCAUCUGACAAGUUUUGCCCUAUUAAUGGAUGUCUACCAGAAAUCGGGGGGGAAAACUAGUCACCUCUUAUCUAUUACAUCUUACAUUGGCUGCGGAAUAUCAUUUGUCUGCCUCAUUCUUACAAUAAUAAUUCAUGUUUGUUCCAAAAAUGUAUGGAAAUCAAUGGCUUCAAAGAUUUUGGUAAACUUGUGCGUUUCUUUGGCUAUCACUAAUUUGAUCUUUCUUGUUGGGAUGCAACCGUAUGCCUCAAAAAUAACAGCUGCUUGUAAGGUAAGUGACAACACAUUUUACCAAGUUGUAUGUAUUUUGUUUUAUAUGAAACUUUACAAACAACCUUAAAUUG